Molecule: ribosomal RNA, 744 nt
Filed under: uncultured bacterium
Lineage: Bacteria
Description: bacterial SSU rRNA
Rfam family: Bacterial small subunit ribosomal RNA
Source: RNAcentral
AGAGUUUGAUCAUGGCUCAGAACGAACGCUGGCGGCAGGCCUCAAACAUGCAAGUCUAGGGGGUGCAGCAAUGCAUCACCGGCGGACGGGUGCGUAACGCGUGGGAAUAUACCUAUUGGUUCGGAACAACUGCGGGAAACUGCAGCUAAUACCGAAUGUGCCCGAAAGGGGAAAGAUUUAUCGCCAAUGGAUUAGCCCGCGUAGGAUUAGCUAGUUGGUGGGGUAACGGCCCACCAAGGCUCCGAUCCUUAGCUGUUCUGAGAGGAAGAUCAGCCACACUGGGACUGAGACACGGCCCAGACUCCUACGGGAGGCAGCAGUUGGGAAUCUUGGACAAUGGGGGAAACCCUGAUCCAGCCAUGCCGCGUGAGUGAUGAAGGCCUUCGGGUUGUAAAACUCUUUCGACGGGGACGAUAAUGACGGUACCCGUAGAAGAAGCUCCGGCUAACUUCGUGCCAGCAGCCGCGGUAAUACGAAGGGGGCUAGCGUUGUUCGGAAUUACUGGGCGUAAAGCGCGCGCAGGCGGCUAUCCAAGUCAGUGGUGAAAGCCCGGAGCUCAACUCCGGAACUGCCAUUGAAACUGUUUAGCUUGAGGACGAGAGAGGUGAGUGGAAUUCCCAGUGUAGAGGUGAAAUUCGUAGAUAUUGGGAAGAACACCGGUGGCGAAGGCGGCUCACUGGCUCGUUUCUGACGCUCAGGCGCGAUAGCGUGGGGAUCAAACAGGAUUAGAUACCCUAGUAGUCC